UACGGCAGUGUUCACAGCCUCAGCCCAAA
RNAcentral lists this small RNA (29 nucleotides) under Bombyx mori (domestic silkworm). RNAcentral's name for it is "ovarian small RNA-21131". The record is from RNAcentral. Lineage: Eukaryota; Metazoa; Arthropoda; Insecta; Lepidoptera; Bombycidae.